GGGGAUGCCAGGCCUAGACAAUAGAGAUACUCGUUUGUUGUGCGAGGCUGCAGUGGAGACCUGCAUAAAAAGCUCCAAAACAAUAACUGCCAAGUCAGUUGCAUCACCGUAUUUCUCGGUGAAUGAUCUCUCGUUCGCCACUGCGCGAGCCUAAGGUCACAUUCGCUCUCCCUUUCCUGAUGGAAGAGGCCGAGUGUUAUAAAACAGGAUAUAACUGGUGGACCUGAUUUCGCCACUAGCCGAAACUUGGAAUCUGCAUCCGCGUGUGGUUUUGGCCACUGCACACACACGCAGGUAAAGACCCGCCGUAAGGCGGAUAAAUGGCCUACGCCUUGUAGAAGCACUCACGAACCUUUGUUGCACGGCGGUUCAACUCCGCCCAUCUCCACUA
This 391-nucleotide transfer-messenger RNA is filed under the name Patescibacteria group bacterium. It matches the Rfam family "transfer-messenger RNA". Rfam says of the family: Bacterial tmRNA, also known as 10Sa RNA or SsrA, is named for its dual tRNA and mRNA-like properties. Its role is to liberate the mRNA from a stalled ribosome. The record is from RNAcentral. RNAcentral also lists the same sequence under 1 other name.